AUGGGCAGUGCCUACCACUGGGAGGCCCGGCGCCGACAGAUGGCUUUGGACCGCAGGAGGUGGCUGAUGGCGCAGCAGCAGCAGCAGCAGGAAGAGCAGGAACAGAAGAAACUCCAAGAGAAGGAACGUUGUCAACCUGAGAAAAAGCCCCAGCCACACCAGGAGUCCAAGAAGCCGCAGCCACCACCAGCACAAUCACAACCCGUGGCUCCGUCGCAGUCCAAGUCACCCCCGCAGCCGCCAGCACAGCCACCCGAGCAGCUGCCGCCGCCGCAGCCGCCGCCACAGCCAGACGCCCAAGACCCUGUCACUCAGUGUGCCCUCAAGCAGCAGCUCCAAAAGGAUGCCCAAAGACCAGGCCAGCUUGCUUCCACGGGGGCCCAUCCAGGUCUUGCAAACCCAUGCCAAUGCAGACCUCCCAAAUACAAUGAGUAUUCGCGACUCACGUCAACCAAUUACACCCAGCAGUGGUGA
Molecule: long non-coding RNA, 474 nt
Filed under: Oryctolagus cuniculus (rabbit)
Lineage: Eukaryota; Metazoa; Chordata; Mammalia; Lagomorpha; Leporidae
Description: lncRNA (ENSOCUG00000033652.1)
Source: RNAcentral